GCAUAGCUGAAUGCUAUGUUCUUUUUAUCAUUAGAAGCUUUCACAGCCAGACACCAUGAGAAGUAAAGUCUUCCCUUUAAAAUGACUACAAUAGUACACCAAGUUUUUUCAUAGCAUAUCCUUAUUAAAAGUGGACAUAAAU
Small nucleolar RNA from Pteronotus mesoamericanus, 142 nucleotides. RefSeq annotates it as small nucleolar RNA SNORA15. The transcript has a single exon. Lineage: Eukaryota; Metazoa; Chordata; Mammalia; Chiroptera; Mormoopidae. The record is from RefSeq and is a predicted model, not a curated record.